GAAGCACGCCAGACUGCCGCUGGUGCAAGGGUGGAAACACCGCACUGGAGGAAGGUCCGGACUGCGCAGGGCAGCGUAGCAGCUAACAGCUGUCCACCGUGAGGUGAGGAUCAGAGCUACAGAGACGAGUCGGACCGGGGCAACCCGGGACGGGUGAAACGAGCAAUCUCUACGCGCAGCAAUACCAAGUAGGCACACGUUGACGGGG
This 208-nucleotide RNase P RNA is filed under the name Polaromonas sp. Its description in RNAcentral is "partial RNase P RNA component class A". It matches the Rfam family "Bacterial RNase P class A", at positions 1 to 251 of the family's 367-position model. From Rfam's summary of the family: Ribonuclease P (RNase P) is a ubiquitous endoribonuclease, found in archaea, bacteria and eukarya as well as chloroplasts and mitochondria. Its best characterised activity is the generation of mature 5'-ends of tRNAs by cleaving the 5'-leader elements of precursor-tRNAs. Lineage: Bacteria; Pseudomonadati; Pseudomonadota; Betaproteobacteria; Burkholderiales; Comamonadaceae. The record is from RNAcentral.